RNAcentral lists this long non-coding RNA (1557 nucleotides) under Mus musculus (house mouse). Its description in RNAcentral is "predicted gene 15318, transcript variant 2 (Gm15318)". The record is from RNAcentral. Lineage: Eukaryota; Metazoa; Chordata; Mammalia; Rodentia; Muridae.
GAUUUGCACGGUUGCAGCAACAAUGCACCCGGUAAAAUCAGUUUAAAGCAGGCAGGGUUUCUUUGGCUCACAGACCCAGGCCUUGUAUAUGAAGCGUCCUCCCCUUCCCCAGGGCUUAAGUCCUAAAACCAGUGCUCCGUGCUGAAGGAUUCCAUGAAUCCCGGUUGGAUUUGGAAGCUUUGAGUGACCCAGACACAUGUUCCUCUUCCUCCUGCUCACAGGUACGGCCAGGCUUCUGCCAGUGCUCAAGAGACUCAGAAAAGUCCAGCUUGGCAUCAAGCACCGAGAAAAGACGUUAAAACAAACCACGUGUCCCCUUCCUUCCUGGCCACAAUCUGCCUGAUGGCUGUCAAACCUUCCAGGAUACUCAACGGCUGGCGCUUGCCUGCUGGGUUGCUGUCUUCCUCCUUCGCUUAUGCUUCCUGCCAGGCUCCUAAGAACUCCUGACACCAUGCCUGCAGCUUGAGCCUGUGCCUCCCUGCUCUGAUGGACUCAUCCCUCUGGAAGUGCCGAAUUCGAGGACUAAAAGUCUGAGGGGUUGAACUGUGUCACCAGCCAGAUCCAGCCACAGAAUAGUUGUGGGAAGCUUUGACUCAAAGCAGCAAUGGGAACAUUGUUUGCAAAGUGCAAACUCAGGACUGAGGGAAUGGCUCCGUUGGCAAAGUGCCCGCCUUGCAAGCUUAGAGGACCUGUGUUCAGUCCCCGGCUCCACACAAGAAGCUGUACUGUGGAGAUGAAGGCAGGAGGGCCUCUUGAAAUUUGCUGGCCAGCCAGCCUAUCUAUUCAUCCUGGUGGGUGACUCAAAAAAAGAGUGGCUCCUGAGUGAUGAGACAUGGUGUUGACAUCUGGCCUCCACACAUCAAGCAUGCACACAACCACAACCACGUACACACUGCACACAGAGAGGCUGCCUUGACAUUUCCUUUGCCAACCCCUCACUGCUCCAGUGAGCAUUCCCAAGGAAUGGCCAAGCAAAAAUGAGCCCUUUCUUUGCCAGACUUUUAGCCUUGACCCUUCACCCCCCAAGACCUGGAUUCAGCUAUGUCACAGGAAUCCAGGGACAGGGAAAGACCAACCAGAGAUACGGACUGGCCCCACAGUCUCAUGCCAUUCUCCCUACUAACUCCUUAUCCCCUACUGUGCUGAGAGAUGACUGUACCUUCUUGAGUGUUCUCGAUGGCCAUGGGGUGGAAGCACCACGGGAAUCCCCGGACACUGUCAUCAAAACAGCAACCUCUCUCCGUGCACUGCUGGGCGGUGACACCGGGGAAGCCACAAUUUAUCCUCUCCCGGGGGGCCAUGAUACAUGUUUCUAAAGUGAGGACAAAAAGCAGGGUGAGUCAUGGGCUGUCACACUGCUUCCUUCUAUGAGGAAACAGGACGCCGCCUGUGGGGAAGCCAGGUUUGAAUAUGCAAGGGGAUACAGUCCUCAUCUGUAGAUGCGGCAAGCCUGGCGCUGGGACAGUUCCAGGGCCACCGCUUCCUCAGCUGCAUUUGUUAGGUGAUGUACUGUUUGCUCAUUGUUGUACUUCUGCACUCAGUAAACUCUGCUCACCU